This is a long non-coding RNA of Fukomys damarensis (Damara mole-rat), 606 nucleotides long. RefSeq lists it as uncharacterized. The transcript is spliced from 3 exons. The record is from RefSeq and is a predicted model, not a curated record. NCBI's taxonomy places the organism in Eukaryota, Metazoa, Chordata, Mammalia, Rodentia, Bathyergidae.
UCUUGAGGAUGAGGAUCUGCUGCCAAAGCAAAGUGGAGUUUUGCCUUUGGCCAGCCUGGAAGGUGGGGUGUACCUGUUUACAAGACCCUCCUUGCCAGUGUCAGGGAUCUCCAGCCUUUGUUUGAAGCGACUCUGGAGCAUGCUGAGCGUGUGGCCAUCUGCGUAAAGGGACUGGCAGGACCCGGGUGCUGUCAGCGUUCUGAGACACCUCGCCUCCUAGAUGGUGCGGGGAGAGGAGAGAGAGUUAUGAAAGGAUGCAUGCCGCACUGUCAAUGACAAUUCGACAAGGAAACUAAGGUAAGCCAAGCAGUCCCUUUGCUGGAGCUCUGAGGAAGUGGAUCUGUACCGCAAACAAAGGUGUGUUCCAUACCUGGGUCUCCACCAAGCAAGGGCUUGUCCCCUGUGCUGCCACAGGUGCUCAGGAACCUGGGGGACAGGGGUUGCCAUCCUAGGACACCAUCAUAUCAGCACAGGACUUCCAGGGGCCACCUGAGCAGGGGAAAGAGGAGCUCCUAGAAUUCACAGCUGUCUGCCCCACACCUGAAGCAUCACAUCCUUUACUUCUGUCCCCAGGCCUGUGGCCAGAGCCAUAGCAUGGUCCUGUGU